GGGGGCAUAGCUCAGUUGGGAGAGCAGUAGACUGAAGAUAUCACGUGUUCUAAAGGUCCCGCGUUCGAUCCGCGGUGCCCCCA
RNAcentral lists this transfer RNA (83 nucleotides) under Agaricus bisporus var. burnettii. It matches the Rfam family "tRNA". Rfam says of the family: Transfer RNA (tRNA) molecules are approximately 80 nucleotides in length. Their secondary structure includes four short double-helical elements and three loops (D, anti-codon, and T loops). Lineage: Eukaryota; Fungi; Basidiomycota; Agaricomycetes; Agaricales; Agaricaceae. The record is from Rfam by way of RNAcentral. RNAcentral also lists the same sequence under 2 other names.